RNAcentral lists this transfer RNA (64 nucleotides) under Macrocheles nataliae. RNAcentral describes it as "tRNA-Ile". The record is from RNAcentral. Lineage: Eukaryota; Metazoa; Arthropoda; Arachnida; Mesostigmata; Macrochelidae.
UGUAAUAUGCCUGAUAAAAGGAAUAUCUUGAUAGGAUAUAUUAUACAAUUUUUUGUUAUUACAU